This is a long non-coding RNA of Paramormyrops kingsleyae, 883 nucleotides long. RefSeq lists it as uncharacterized. NCBI's taxonomy places the organism in Eukaryota, Metazoa, Chordata, Actinopteri, Osteoglossiformes, Mormyridae. The record is from RefSeq and is a predicted model, not a curated record.
ACUCCGUGUCAAACGGAACCCCGAUUACCCCACCCGUUUACGGAUGCAAACUGCCAACAAAUGCAGUCGCAUGUUUAAUUGGGAACAGGCACCGUGGGAUAUUAACGUGGGGGGGAGACAGUAAUUAAGGCUGCCGCUUCCUCGGGGAGACGACCUCAGCGGAUCGAGCUGGCGGCAUCUCCGGGCACCCGCUCCGGAGGCGCGGCCAGAAGAUCGCUCCGGGAGUGAGGGGGAGGAAGAGGAGGAGCUGUCCCACUUCGUCCAUCCUCUUCACACAUCGUCUAACUGAUGAGCCGGUGUUGAGCUCUCGCCGCGCUCCCUGCCGACUCCCGUGAUCUUAUGUUUAUUUAGCGGAUCGUUUUACACAUAGCGAUGAACAAACAAGGCAAGACGGGGAGCAGGGCUGGCCAGCAUCCCUGAAGUCGUAGGGGUUAAGGACCUCGCUGAAAGACCCAGCGGUGGCACCGGCAAUUUACAAGUGGGUUGGAAAAAUGAAGCAUGUGGAAGACACAUCGUGGAGGUCACGCGAAACAAAAAAAUAUCUGUGAUGCGAUGGAAGGCACCAGAGCAGCGAGAAGCCGGCGCGUUCCUGGGAAGAAUCCGGGGCCCUGGAAAACUGCGCGGGGAGCCGGUUCCCCUGACUGGGACUCUCUCACAUGUACUGGAAUCUAUCAAAGACUGAUGAGCAGACCCAGGCAGAAAUCCCCCAUAGGUGAUGAUGCUGAACACAGAGCUGACGGGGGCCUACCACUUCAAAGCCACUAAAAUGCGCCGGCUUAUAAGGCUUGACAAAGGGGGGCAGAAAAGCGGCAGAAUGCACUGUCUUAGCAAUGAUGUUAUUUAUUUAUUUUCUCCGAAUAAAUAAAUAUUUUGACACAGCUGA